RNAcentral lists this ribosomal RNA (252 nucleotides) under uncultured bacterium. RNAcentral describes it as "partial 16S ribosomal RNA". It matches the Rfam family "Bacterial small subunit ribosomal RNA", at positions 525 to 776 of the family's 1533-position model. The record is from RNAcentral.
ACGGAGGGUGCGAGCGUUAAUCGGAAUUACUGGGCGUAAAGCGCGCGUAGGCGGUCUGUUAAGUCGGAUGUGAAAGCCCCGGGCUUAACCUGGGAACUGCAUUCGAUACUGGCAGACUGGAAUACGGGAGAGGGAGGUAGAAUUCCAUGUGUAGCGGUGAAAUGCGUAGAUAUAUGGAGGAAUACCAGUGGCGAAGGCGGCCUCCUGGCCCGAUAUUGACGCUGAGGUGCGAAAGCGUGGGGAGCAAACAGG